UGAGGACAAGGAUCUUAUUAGGGCUUGAGGUAUUGUCAUGAAUGAGUCUGUACCGGUAUUGACAAAGCAGCCCACCAAUACCAUAUUAAGUGGCUCUGUUUGGGUUCCGAGUUGAUAUAUAGAUACUUGUGGGAGCAAAAUAGGUUUAUGCGAAUAUUGGUGGAGUGUCAGUAUCUCCUCAUUCCCGUUCUAUCUGUUAUUCUCACCCCCCUUUUUUAGUCUACGCUUCUCAUCUCCCUUCUAUCCUUUGUUACAAUUCCUUGUUAUCCUUUCAACUACCUUGUUGAUCUUUAGCUUUCCAUUGUAAUAGUUAGUUUGAGCAUUCAAUCAAAGGAAUUGAUUCCUUGUAGUUGAGCAUUUAAGUGUUCACUUCAGAAGAUCUAUCAAGAAUGGUUCAGUUUCGCUAAUUCAGGUAAUAUAUUCUCUCAUUUUUAUGUGUUAUUCAAAUAAGAGAACAAAGGAAUUUUGAAUAAUGGGGUUAUUGGGUACAGAUGUAGAUGAAAGCCUCACUGGAGGAGAUGCCACCAAGCUAUUUGCCAUGUCCAAUUUGCCUCGUCAAGAGCUCAAGCAGGUUCUUUUCUUUUCUACUUCCUUUAUUUCCUUAAUAUCGUUCACUUGUACCCAAUAACCCCAUUAUUCGAGUGAGCCGUUAUUUUCUUAGAUAGUGUAUAUAUGGUCAAAAUUAAUUUAUUAUAUGGCAGAUCUUGAAUCCUCUUGACUCCUUCGUAUGCUUGCAUCUUUAUAUUUUGAAUCUCCCUAUUGAAAAUCCUGUCUCCGCCAUUGCAUGCACCUGUCUAGAAACCUUGUUUUAAUGUUUGUCAAUGCUUUGGCAAGAGCUCAAGUGCAGUAUGUGCUUUGUCUCAAGUUUGUAACACCGACAGCCAAUUAAAUAAUUUGAAAAAAAUGAAUAUAACUUAAAUAAUAUGGUGAAACUGGCUGCUGGGUGAAAAUAACACCUUCUUUUAUACAUAUACCUUUGUGCAAUAUAUUUACAGAUAAACUGAUUUUAAACAAUUUUAGAAGUUCUCAAUCUCGCGUAACACACACAUAAUCAGGCUGUGAGCUGAAAAUCCUCUAGACUUUGCGUGGAACUAUAAUAAAAAUUCAUGUAGACUAUAGUAUUUUGAAUUUAGACAAUGUUAGCACUAGUUAAAAUGCAUGUUUUUAGCGGACUGUGCUACGCUCAUAUAGAAGACAAAACACAUGAAAGAUGUUCGAACAAGGUACGUACUAAAAAAUUCAUGAGGACUACAAAAUGAACAAUUUCCUUUAUUACAAUGGAUAGAUACAAAUAACAGAUAAAUUGAAAACCAAAGCUGAACUAGAGAGUCUUUGGAUAAUCAGCAAUCCCCUCAAAGGCAAAAUUCCCUUUCUUUUCAUCAUUACUGGGGAAGAUGGCAAUACUAAUUAACAAUACAGGGACAACAAAUUAAUAGGAAAAGAAAAGCUGCAAAAUUUAGAGCCGGGAUGAUCCAAUAGGAUGAUGUAUGACAAUGUUAUUGUAGGCAUCAAGAGUCAUAAAAUCAUCCAAAACUGGUGCAGUGCAUUGCCUUGUGAAUAACUUGCAAGCCACCUCGUACAUUCCCUUCUUGAAUUUCUCCUUUCCAACUUCUCUCUCAAUCCUAGCCAUUUCAUCCUCAACCACUCUUCCAAACAGGUCUAAGUUCACUUUCACCCCAAGUCCAUCCCCAUCCAAUUCCACACCAUAUUUCAGCCACUGCCAAUUCUGGACUCUGCUAAUCUCAGCUGCGGCAGCUUCCUCCAUGAAGUUGUAAAGAGGGACACAACCAAGGCCUGUCAGCCAGGCUGCCAAGUACUGAAUUCCCACUCGGGUGUUCAGCCGAAGGCACUCCAAGGUACAGACCCCUCUCGGCCUCUGCAGCAGGUCUUCUUCAUCUAGAAUGGAUGCAUCUUGGCGCUUCAUGGAAUGGAUUUGGUUUGGGGAAUUGCCCAUGUUGUUAGUGAAGACUUCCAUGCAUGCUGGAACUAGGCCAGGGUGAGUAACCCAUGUCCCAUCAUGCCCCGCCGUCACUUCUCUUAGCUUAUCCUUCCUUACAAGUUCCAAUGCUGCCUCAUUAGCUGCCGGAUCAUCUCUAAUUGGAAUAUGAGCUGCCUGUUUCAAGGAUCCAGCACAGCUAUUAUGCAUCAAUUUGAUCAUGUACAAGAAGAUUCCAAAUUAACCUAAUGCAGAAAUUGGAAAUUACUCCAGAUGUUGUUUUUUUCCAGAUAUUGUAAAACUAAUAAAAAAUAAAAAAUUGGUGUUGGGUUGAUAAUCACACGAGUAUCAAAGGAUGACAAUAUUGCAGCCAACACACUAACCGGCUUUGGAUCUUUCAUACAUAUCAACAACCACUAAAGUAUUUCCUAUUGUACUCCUACAUCGCUCCAAUGUGGGAACGAUCAUGUGCAUACUUUUUAAUAUCAUAACAUCCUACUAGCAUGCAAAUGUUUUCGUGUCCAUAUGUUUGGUAAUUUAUACAUUUUAUUUGAGUUCCUAAUAAAAAUAAUACAAAUAUGCUUGUGUAAAAUUAUUUAAAGAACAUAGAAUUAAAAAAAGAAACUGAAUUGAUGUAGACAUACCAUGCCUCCCAUAGCAUGGACUCCACGCUUAUGACAAGUGUGGAUGAGUAAGUCGGAGUAACUCCUCAUAAAGUGUUGAGCCAUGCCAACUUGUGUCCUAUCGGGGAGCAAUCGAUCAGGGUGACCCUGGAAUGUCUUGAUGUAGCUGAAAAUGUAAUCCCAUCUACCACAAUUGAGGCCAACAGAAUGGUCCCUCAGUUCAUACAAGAUUUCAUUCAUCUGAAACACAGCUGGAAGUGUUUCAAUUAGGGCAGUAGCCCUAAUGCUUCCUUUCUCAAUUCUAACCCAUUUCUCUGCCCUCUCAAACACAUUGUUCCAUAUCCUAGCUUCCCUGAUCAAACAAAACAAAAACUGCUACAUUUUCUUGGAAUAUAAUUCUCAAGACUAUAUAAAUUUACUAACAAGAACACAACUAACCUAGAAUGUUCCAUUUUGGGUAGAUAGAAAAAGGGUCCAGAUCCUUGACCUUGGGCCUUGCGGAAGUUGGCAUAGUUGUGGAAAAAGUAGAGGCCGAAGUCGACAAGGCAACCCGUGGCAGGCUCACCAUCAAUGAAAAUGUGAGCUUCUGGCAAGUGCCACCCUCUUGGGCGCACAAACAACUUAGCUGUCUGAUCAUUCAGUUUAUAUACUUUAUUUCUGGCUUGAUCAUGGAAUGUUAUUGUUCUAUUGACUGCAUCCCUCAAAUUUAUAUGGCCUCUCAUUAGAUUCUCCCAGCUUGGUGACAGUGCAUCUUCAAAGUCCGCCUGUGGAAUAUUAUAUUAUGAACUGCAUUGCAAUGAUAUGCAGAAAGAAAAACAAAAUGCACAUAUUCUGGAUAUGCUUCCACUCCAAAUUGAGGUUAAUUACUUACAUAAAGGUCUAGUGCUACCAUUAGUUUUGCUCAAUUAUUUCCUUCAAUGUAAUUCACACUGGCCUUUUUUUCGUUUUUCUUAGUUAUAUUAAAAUGAGAGUUCUUCUGUUCUACUAUUAACUUGGGAAGGGAGAUGCGACAGGGGAUAUGGCAUACCAUGAAAACUUUGGCUCUAGAAUUAAGGGCAUCGAUGACCAUCUUCCUAUCGACUGGUCCGGUAAUCUCCACCCUCC
Molecule: long non-coding RNA, 3663 nt
Filed under: Solanum tuberosum (potato)
Lineage: Eukaryota; Viridiplantae; Streptophyta; Magnoliopsida; Solanales; Solanaceae
Description: long non-coding RNA (STUB_LNC004057)
Source: RNAcentral